ACAGCAGCCGCCGCGGUAAUACGAAGGGUGCAAGCGUUACUCGGAAUUACUGGGCGUAAAGCGUGCGUAGGUGGUGGUUUAAGUCCGUUGUGAAAGCCCUGGGCUCAACCUGGGAAUUGCAGUGGAUACUGGGUCACUAGAGUGUGGUAGAGGAUAGUGGAAUUUCCGGUGUAGCAGUGAAAUGCGUAGAGAUCGGAAGGAACAUCUGUGGCGAAGGCGACUAUCUGGGCCAACACUGACACUGAGGCACGAAAGCGUGGGGAGCAAACAGGAUUAGAUACCCCUGUAGUCCCUGUCUCUUAUAC
RNAcentral lists this ribosomal RNA (305 nucleotides) under uncultured bacterium. RNAcentral describes it as "partial 16S ribosomal RNA". It matches the Rfam family "Bacterial small subunit ribosomal RNA", at positions 508 to 807 of the family's 1533-position model. The record is from RNAcentral.